UUGAACGCUGGCGGCAUGCCUUACACAUGCAAGUCGAACGGCAGCACGGGAGCAAUCCUGGUGGCGAGUGGGCGAACGGGUGAGUAAUAUAUCGGAACGUGCCCAGUCGUGGGGAUAACGCAGCGAAAGCUGUGCUAAUACCGCAUACGAUCUAUGGAUGAAAGCGGGGGAUCGCAAGACCUCGCGCGAUUGGAGCGGCCGAUAUCAGAUUAGCUAGUUGGUGGGGUAAAAGCUCACCAAGGCGACGAUCUGUAGCUGGUCUGAGAGGACGACCAGCCACACUGGAACUGAGACACGGUCCAGACUCCUACGGGAGGCAGCAGUGGGGAAUUUUGGACAAUGGGCGCAAGCCUGAUCCAGCAAUGCCGCGUGCAGGAUGAAGGCCUUCGGGUUGUAAACUGCUUUUGUACGGAGCGAAACGGUCUGCCCUAAUACGGUGGGCUAAUGACGGUACCGUAAGAAUAAGCACCGGCUAACUACGUG
RNAcentral lists this ribosomal RNA (483 nucleotides) under uncultured bacterium. Its description in RNAcentral is "bacterial SSU rRNA". It matches the Rfam family "Bacterial small subunit ribosomal RNA", at positions 30 to 507 of the family's 1533-position model. The record is from RNAcentral.